AAUUGACUUGGCAGAAUAAAAUGCGAUUGAUUUAGGAUCAGUUUAUAAUACUAAUAUAUUAGUCGGUUU
This 69-nucleotide transfer RNA is filed under the name Doriprismatica atromarginata. Its description in RNAcentral is "tRNA-Leu". Lineage: Eukaryota; Metazoa; Mollusca; Gastropoda; Nudibranchia; Chromodorididae. The record is from RNAcentral.